RNAcentral lists this transfer RNA (72 nucleotides) under Camelus bactrianus (Bactrian camel). It matches the Rfam family "tRNA". From Rfam's summary of the family: Transfer RNA (tRNA) molecules are approximately 80 nucleotides in length. Their secondary structure includes four short double-helical elements and three loops (D, anti-codon, and T loops). Further hydrogen bonds mediate the characteristic L-shaped molecular structure. tRNAs have two regions of fundamental functional importance: the anti-codon, which is responsible for specific mRNA codon recognition, and the 3' end, to which the tRNAs corresponding amino acid is attached (by aminoacyl-tRNA synthetases). tRNAs cope with the degeneracy of the genetic code in two manners: having more than one tRNA (with a specific anti-codon) for a particular amino acid; and 'wobble' base-pairing, i.e. permitting non-standard base-pairing at the 3rd anti-codon position. RNAcentral also lists the same sequence under 2 other names. Lineage: Eukaryota; Metazoa; Chordata; Mammalia; Artiodactyla; Camelidae. The record is from Rfam by way of RNAcentral.
GAGGGUGUAGCUCAGUGGUGGAGUGUGUGCUUAGCAUGCACAAGGUCCUAGGUUCAAUCCCCAGUGCCUCCA